Molecule: ribosomal RNA, 440 nt
Filed under: uncultured bacterium
Lineage: Bacteria
Description: partial 16S ribosomal RNA
Rfam family: Bacterial small subunit ribosomal RNA
Source: RNAcentral
CCUACGGGAGGCAGCAGUGGGGAAUAUUGCACAAUGGGGGAAACCCUGAUGCAGCGACGCCGCGUGAGUGAAGAAGUAAUUCGGUAUGUAAAGCUCUAUCAGCAGGGAAGAAAAUGACGGUACCUGAGUAAGAAGCCCCGGCUACAUACGUGCCAGCAGCCGCGGUAAUACGUAGGGGGCAAGCGUUAUCCGGAUUUACUGGGUGUAAAGGGAGCGUAGACGGGAGUGCAAGUCUGGAGUGAAAGGCGGGGGCUCAACCCCCGGACUGCUGUGGAAACUGUACGGCUGGAGUGCAGGAGAGGUAAGUGGAAUUCCUAGUGUAGCGGUGAAAUGCGUAGAUAUUAGGAGGAACACCAGUGGCGAAGGCGGCUUACUGGACUGUAACUGACGUUGAGGCUCGAAAGCGUGGGGAGCAAACAGGAUUAGAUACCCCUGUAGUC